AAAGAUAAUAAAAGGACGAGGCAAACACGAAGAGCUCACAACGAGAUUCAUGCUUUCAGAUUUCAACUGUCACCGGAAGUUGGAAGUUCGUUUGUGAUAGGAUCUAAACAAGUAUCAAAGUCUACAAAUUCUGGAUUAAGCAAGUUAAAGACUUGUGAUUCCCCUGUAUCUUCAACAACCUCGUCUUCCAAAACUUUAUCCAAAGACAUCUGUGGAUAGCCAUAGCAAGCCGCAGUUACAUUAUACAGGAAAGGUACCACUUAAGGCUUUGCAUUCCAAAGAAAAUGUCACAGUCGCUUUGUUUGAUAUGUUUGUUCUGUGGAUUGUUAACAUUCCAUAAAGUCGAUAUGGAUCUUGCAUAGGCUUGCUUACUCUUUUGAUCCAGCUGCAAAGAUCUUCCAAGUGAAAAAGGGUAGUGAGUUCUCUGAUUCAUACAUGGAAAGUGUUGUGAAGAACAUAGUUGUGGAUGAAAAAGAAGAGAACCCAAGAGUUGGUCUUAUGGUUAUGCCUGGGUUUUGGAUUGGUGGCAGUGUCAUUCAAAGCCGAGUUUAUGUUUCUGGUGUGAAGGUCCUUGAGUGAAGGAUCUCAGGAACUCUCUUAAUGCUUCUUCCCACUUUGUUGUGCAACUUUUAUUUUCUCUUUGUUAUAAGCAAGCCUAUAUGUAUCAUCUAUUGUUAAAAAAAAAUGGAAUUAAUAUCUUCUUCGUCUCAA
This 711-nucleotide small RNA is filed under the name Arabidopsis thaliana (thale cress). Its description in RNAcentral is "unknown gene (AT2G45245)". The record is from RNAcentral. Lineage: Eukaryota; Viridiplantae; Streptophyta; Magnoliopsida; Brassicales; Brassicaceae.